CCUGAGGGACUGACUCUCACCUACUGCAUAAGGUGGCAUUUAGACUGAGCGUUGAAGGAGAACGCUGAUCUUAGGAGCCAGGAUUGUGCCUGAUACCUAAAAAGUGUUCAGCAAGUGCUGCUGGCAACCUAAGAAGAGACUUGUGUUCCCGGCAGACGGAAAGAGUGAGACGGUGGAAGCGGGAGGAUCAAGCUCAUUUCGGAUGUGGUAAAGGAAAGAGGAGUCUGAAAUGUCAACAGAUGGGUUGUCUUCUCUUGGGUUCAUGGAGCUGUCUUGAACCUGUGCCUCUACGGUCAGCAUUGGUAGAAGGACGUUUUCUGCAUAUUGUUAGCUGGGAAGGAGACCUAAAUUCAGUUCUAUGAGAGUGUGUUUUUCUUCUGCACCACUAUGAAUUGGAACUAUGUACCCUUACAAAUUGCAUGGUGAUUCUCGGCAAUGCCAGUGUCUGGGCUCCUCCAAACCCAACAUUGGACCUUCUGCUGGGAGUUUCCCAGGCUCUACAGAGAAGCUCAGCUGCAGUCAGCAUGGUUGUUGGUGACAUGAACAUCACUUUAUUGCCAGAGAAAUGAGGCAUUGUGAGUAGCGGGCAAUCUGACAGCAUUGUGGA
Long non-coding RNA from Psammomys obesus (fat sand rat), 607 nucleotides. RefSeq lists it as uncharacterized. The transcript is spliced from 3 exons. The record is from RefSeq and is a predicted model, not a curated record. Lineage: Eukaryota; Metazoa; Chordata; Mammalia; Rodentia; Muridae.